RNAcentral lists this ribosomal RNA (463 nucleotides) under uncultured bacterium. RNAcentral's name for it is "partial 16S ribosomal RNA". It matches the Rfam family "Bacterial small subunit ribosomal RNA", at positions 28 to 507 of the family's 1533-position model. The record is from RNAcentral.
GAUGAACGCUGGCGGCGUGCUUAACACAUGCAAGUCGAACGGUGAAGGCGGAGCUUGCUCUGCUGGAUCAGUGGCGAACGGGUGAGUAACACGUGAGCAAUCUGCCCCUGACUCUGGGAUAAGCGCUGGAAACGGCGUCUAAUACUGGAUACGAGCUGCGACGGCAUCUUCAGCAGCUGGAAAGAACUUCGGUCAGGGAUGAGCUCGCGGCCUAUCAGCUUGUUGGUAAGGUAACGGCUCACCAAGGCGUCGACGCAUAGCCGGUCUGAGAGGGUGACCGGCGACGCUUGGACUGGGACACGGCCCAGACUGCUACGGGAGGCAGCGGUGGGGAAGAGUGGACAAGGGGCGAAAGCCUGAUCAAGCAAUGCCGCGGGAGUGAUGAAGGCCUUAGGGUAGGAAAGCUCUCUUACCCGGGAGGAUAAUGACAGUACCGGGAGAAGAAGCUCCGGCUAACUCCGUG